This 1185-nucleotide long non-coding RNA is filed under the name Ricinus communis (castor bean). RNAcentral describes it as "long non-coding RNA (RCOM_LNC003036)". The record is from RNAcentral. Lineage: Eukaryota; Viridiplantae; Streptophyta; Magnoliopsida; Malpighiales; Euphorbiaceae.
ACACUUGUUUCCUAUUUAACAUGAAAUUGAUAUUACAUUGAACAAUAAUGAUUUAUUUAUUAUAUAUAUAUAUAUAUAAUAAAAUAAAAAUAAUUUUGUCAUGGGUGUCAUUAUAGUAACUUUUUUUAGGAUGAGGGACUUAUUUGUAUUUUUCCAUCCUUUUCUUAAAAGAAAUAAUAAAUAAAAUAAAAUAAAACAUUAUAAAAACUCCCUCUCCUCUUUAUUCUCUCUCCUCAACGCCACCUCCUUCUCCCCCACUCCUUUCCAUUUUCGGCCACAACCCCGCCGCCACCAGCCACUCGACAUCCCUCCUCCUUCCCAUUUCUCGUUGGCGCCGUCCUUUACCCCUUCCUCUCACCGUUCCCUUGCCGCAGCAAGGAGAAGAAGUCGCCUCCCAUGCUGCCAUCGCCAGUUCGACCUUUUGUCACCGUCCUUUCGCCUGUCCGAUGCUGAAAAUGAGCUCCUGGCUGGUGAAAACCCCCAAGUCAAGCUUCCCCGUCGUUUUUCCUCCGCCGGCAGUAGUGUAUAAGCCUCAUCGGAGCCUAAAGUUUCCCGCCUCGAUCUAAUGGCUUCCGGCGAGUUUUCGGCAUAAAUAAUCGCAUAUUCGGACUCCCUGUGACUUAAGCUUCGCGUAGGCAUUACCCGGAUUCAAAAUCCAACACCAUUGACGACGGUACCGGCUUUCAGACCCCGGUGUUUUCCGGAUCGUAGAAUUUCGAGUUUCAGCUAGAUAUAAUUUUAUUUAGACUUUAAAAAUUAUUUUGAAAUUAUUAGAAAAUGUUGGGGGUAUCAAUUUUUAGUUAUUAUUAAUUAAUUAAAUUAUUUAACUAAUUAGUAGCCUGAUCCUAGAAAUACUGCAGAUUAAUUAUAGAAGGAGUUAUUAUUUUGUUGUGUAAUUGAGGUUGUGAUUGAUUAAAUCAAAUGUGAGGAAAAUAUAUGUGUGGUAUUGUGAAUAAUAUUAUUUUUUGACGAACUGUUGAUUUUGUAUUGUGAUUUGGAUUGUGUUGCGAAGUGGGGAAAUAAUGCAGUUCUGGUGGCCCAAUUCCCGUUAAAUAAUUGUGGGAUAUUUGAAGUGUUUCUAGUAGGUUGUGGACCCGUUACAUGAGGGUAAAACAUCCAUAUUUUAGGGGAGGUUGCCGAAUUUUUGAUAGAAUUUUCAAGUCAGAAUUCUUAGACAGUCUAAUU